GAAGUAGUUAAAGUUGUUUCUAAUCCUAUACAGUCGAAAAAAAUUUGUGAGUACGAAGGAGCUUAGAUCCAAGUUUCAUAACAACCUAGUGAAGAUGGCUGAUGUUUAAAAAAAAAUUGUUGAAAAAAAUUUCUUCUCCAAAAGACAAAAAAAUAAAAAAAUAUGAGAAGAAAAGAAAAGCAAAAGAAAUUGCAGAGUCAAGCAAUGGUGAUGAUGAUGUUGAGAAUUCUUCUGCUAAUGUAACUGAAGAAGACAUGGAGGAAGAGGUAUUUUUCGUAAAGCUUUUAUCAAUUUUGGGGUAAUAUGUAUUUUUCAUGAAGUUAAUAUGUAUUUACUGCUCAUUGAUAUGUAUUUAGGGAUUUCAGUAAAAUUGAUCUGUUAAGAUGAUAGGCUAAAUAUACAAUUUGUGUUAACAUGUAUUUAUUUGUAUUUUUUGUGAAACUGCUAUGUUUAUUUGUAUUUUGUAUGUUAGAUAAAUUUGCUAAGUUGCAUGUAUGAAAAAUAAAUUAAUCUUUGAACUAUUCCUAAAAAGGCAUUUGGUUAUAUGUAUUUUUUUUUUUUUAUAUAUAUUUUCUGUGGAAUGUACAUGAUAACAUAUGCAGAGUGUCUUUCUUAAGGUCAACGCUUUCUUUCGAUUGUGUUCAAUCCCAACAUACUUCGUACAAGAUAUACUUCUCUAUUGUGGGACUAUGGUAUGAGAAAACAAGAAGCAAAAACUCAAAGUGACGACAAAGUACAAUUGAGGCUUGUUAGGGAAAGUAAGAUAACAAGUGUCACAAAAGUACUUGAAGUCUAAUGGUUGAUGAUUUUAUUACAUUGUAUAGUGAC
RNAcentral lists this long non-coding RNA (828 nucleotides) under Capsicum annuum. Its description in RNAcentral is "long non-coding RNA (CANN_LNC019383)". Lineage: Eukaryota; Viridiplantae; Streptophyta; Magnoliopsida; Solanales; Solanaceae. The record is from RNAcentral.